This is a non-coding RNA of Acanthosepion pharaonis, 104 nucleotides long. The record is from the annotation of a GenBank genome assembly. Lineage: Eukaryota; Metazoa; Mollusca; Cephalopoda; Sepiida; Sepiidae.
UGCGACAUGGAAACACCGGUUCUCGUAAGACCCCCGAAGUUAAGUAACGUCGAGACUGAUCAGUGCCUAGAUGGGUGACUGCUUGGAAAUACCAGCUGCUGUAA